AGUGAGGAAUAUUGCACAAUGGGGGAAACCCUGAUGCAGCAACGCCGCGUGGAGGAUGACGCAUUUCGGUGUGUAAACUCCUUUUAUAUGUCAAGAAAAUGACGGUAGCAUAUGAAUAAGCACCGGCUAACUCCGUGCCAGCAGCCGCGGUAAUACGGAGGGUGCAAGCGUUAUUCGGAAUCACUGGGCGUAAAGGACGCGUAGGCGGGAAGCCAAGUCUGAUGUGAAAUCCUAUGGCUUAACCAUAGAACUGCAUUGGAAACUGGUUACCUAGAGUAUGGGAGGGGGAGAUGGAAUUAGUGGUGUAGGGGUAAAAUCCGUAGAUAUCACUAGGAAUACCGAAAGCGAAGGCGAUCUCCUGGAACAUAACUGACGCUAAGGCGUGAAAGCGUGGGGAGCAAACAGGAUUAGAUACCCUGGUAGUCCACGCCCUAAACGAUGAACACUAGUCGUCGGGAUGCUAGUCAUCUCGGUGAUGCACUUAACAGAUUAAGUGUUCCGCCUGGGGAGUACGGUCGCAAGAUUAAAACUCAAAGGAAUAGACGGGGACCCGCACAAGUGGUGGAGCAUGUGGUUUAAUUCGAAGAUACGCGAAGAACCUUACCUAGCCUUGACAUUGAUUGAAUACCCUAGAGAUAGAGUAGUGCCCUUCGGGGAGCAUGAAAACAGGUGCUGCACGGCUGUCGUCAGCUCGUGUCGUGAGAUGUUGG
RNAcentral lists this ribosomal RNA (710 nucleotides) under uncultured bacterium. RNAcentral's name for it is "bacterial SSU rRNA". It matches the Rfam family "Bacterial small subunit ribosomal RNA", at positions 353 to 1078 of the family's 1533-position model. The record is from RNAcentral.